Molecule: ribosomal RNA, 459 nt
Filed under: uncultured bacterium
Lineage: Bacteria
Description: partial 16S ribosomal RNA
Rfam family: Bacterial small subunit ribosomal RNA
Source: RNAcentral
CCUACGGGAGGCAGCAGUGAGGAAUAUUGGUCAAUGGGAGAGAUCCUGAACCAGCCAAGCCGCGUGAGGGAAGACGGCCCUAUGGGUUGUAAACUUCUUUUGUCGGAGAUCAAAACCCGGGACGUGUCCCGGACUGCGUGUAUCCGAAGAAAAAGCAUCGGCUAACUCCGUGCCAGCAGCCGCGGUAAUACGGAGGAUGCGAGCGUUAUCCGGAUUUAUUGGGUUUAAAGGGUGCGUAGGCGGUCCGUUAAGUCAGCGGUAAAAUUGCGGGGCUCAACCCCGUCGGGCCGUUGAAACUGGCAGACUUGAGUUGGCGAGAAGUACGCGGAAUGCGCGGUGUAGCGGUGAAAUGCAUAGAGAUCGCGCAGAACUCCGAUUGCGAAGGCAGCGUACCGGCGCCAGACUGACGUUGAGGCACGAAAGCGUGGGGAGCGAACAGGAUUAGAUACCCCAGUAGUC